AAAGAAACCAACAGGGAUUGCCUCAGUAACGGCGAGUGAAGCGGCAAGAGCUCAAAUUUGAAAGCUGGCCCCCUCGGGGUCCGCGUUGUAAUUUGCAGAGGAUGCUUCGGGUGCAGCCCCCGUCUAAGUGCCCUGGAACGGGCCGUCAUAGAGGGUGAGAAUCCCGUCUGGGACGGGGUGUCUGCGUCCGUGUGAAGCUCCUUCGACGAGUCGAGUUGUUUGGGAAUGCAGCUCUAAAUGGGUGGUAAAUUUCAUCUAAAGCUAAAUACUGGCCGGAGACCGAUAGCGCACAAGUAGAGUGAUCGAAAGAUGAAAAGCACUUUGAAAAGAGAGUUAAACAGCACGUGAAAUUGUUGAAAGGGAAGCGUUUGCGACCAGACUCGCCCGCGGGGUUCAGCCGGCAUUCGUGCCGGUGUACUUCCCCGUGGGCGGGCCAGCGUCGGUUUGGGCGGCCGGUCAAAGGCCCUCGGAAUGUAUCACCUCUCGGGGUGUCUUAUAGCCGAGGGUGCAAUGCGGCCUGCCCGGACCGAGGAACGCGCUUCGGCUCGGACGCUGGCGUAAUGGUCGCAAAUGAC
This 575-nucleotide ribosomal RNA is filed under the name Aspergillus fischeri. Its description in RNAcentral is "eukaryotic LSU rRNA". It matches the Rfam family "Eukaryotic large subunit ribosomal RNA", at positions 58 to 648 of the family's 3401-position model. The record is from RNAcentral. Lineage: Eukaryota; Fungi; Ascomycota; Eurotiomycetes; Eurotiales; Aspergillaceae.